UUGAAGAGUUUGAUCAUGGCUCAGAUUGAACGCUGGCGGCAGGCCUAACAUGCAAGUCGAGCGGUAGCACAGAGCUUGCUCGGGUGACGAGCGGCGGACGGGUGAGUAAUGUCUGGGAAACUGCCUGAUGGAGGGGGAUAACUACUGGAAACGGUAGCUAAUACCGCAUAACGUCGCAAGACCAAAGUGGGGGACCUUCGGGCCUCAUGCCAUCAGAUGUGCCCAGAUGGGAUUAGCUAGUAGGUGGGGUAACGGCUCACCUAGGCGACGAUCCCUAGCUGGUCUGAGAGGAUGACCAGCCACACUGGAACUGAGACACGGUCCAGACUCCUACGGGAGGCAGCAGUGGGGAAUAUUGCACAAUGGGCGCAAGCCUGAUGCAGCCAUGCCGCGUGUGUGAAGAAGGCCUUCGGGUUGUAAAGCACUUUCAGCGGGGAGGAAGGCGUUAAGGUUAAUAACCUCAUCGAUUGACGUUACCCGCAGAAGAAGCACCGGCUAACUCCGUGCCAGCAGCCGCGGUAAUACGGAGGGUGCAAGCGUUAAUCGGAAUUACUGGGCGUAAAGCGCACGCAGGCGGUCUGUCAAGUCGGAUGUGAAAUCCCCGGGCUCAACCUGGGAACUGCAUUCGAAACUGGCAGGCUAGAGUCUUGUAGAGGGGGGUAGAAUUCCAGGUGUAGCGGUGAAAUGCGUAGAGAUCUGGAGGAAUACCGGUGGCGAAGGCGGCCCCCUGGACAAAGACUGACGCUCAGGUGCGAAAGCGUGGGGAGCAAACAGGAUUAGAUACCCUGGUAGUCCACGCCGUAAACGAUGUCGAUUUGGAGGUUGUGCCCUUGAGGCGUGGCUUCCGGAGCUAACGCGUUAAAUCGACCGCCUGGGGAGUACGGCCGCAAGGUUAAAACUCAAAUGAAUUGACGGGGGCCCGCACAAGCGGUGGAGCAUGUGGUUUAAUUCGAUGCAACGCGAAGAACCUUACCUGGUCUUGACAUCCACAGAACUUAGCAGAGAUGCUUUGGUGCCUUCGGGAACUGUGAGACAGGUGCUGCAUGGCUGUCGUCAGCUCGUGUUGUGAAAUGUUGGGUUAAGUCCCGCAACGAGCGCAACCCUUAUCCUUUGUUGCCAGCGGUCCGGCCGGGAACUCAAAGGAGACUGCCAGUGAUAAACUGGAGGAAGGUGGGGAUGACGUCAAGUCAUCAUGGCCCUUACGACCAGGGCUACACACGUGCUACAAUGGCAUAUACAAAGAGAAGCGACCUCGCGAGAGCAAGCGGACCUCAUAAAGUAUGUCGUAGUCCGGAUUGGAGUCUGCAACUCGACUCCAUGAAGUCGGAAUCGCUAGUAAUCGUAGAUCAGAAUGCUACGGUGAAUACGUUCCCGGGCCUUGUACACACCGCCCGUCACACCAUGGGAGUGGGUUGCAAAAGAAGUAGGUAGCUUAACCUUCGGGAGGGCGCUUACCACUUUGUGAUUCAUGACUGGGGUGAAGUCGUAACAAGGUAACCGUAGGGAACCUGCGGUUGGAUCACCUCCUU
This 1529-nucleotide ribosomal RNA is filed under the name Klebsiella pneumoniae. Its description in RNAcentral is "bacterial SSU rRNA". It matches the Rfam family "Bacterial small subunit ribosomal RNA". The record is from RNAcentral. Lineage: Bacteria; Pseudomonadati; Pseudomonadota; Gammaproteobacteria; Enterobacterales; Enterobacteriaceae.